Molecule: ribosomal RNA, 440 nt
Filed under: uncultured bacterium
Lineage: Bacteria
Description: partial 16S ribosomal RNA
Rfam family: Bacterial small subunit ribosomal RNA
Source: RNAcentral
CUACGGGCUGCUCCAGUGAGGAAUAUUGCACAAUGGGGGGAACCCUGAUGCAGCAACGCCGCGUGGAGGAUGACGCAUUUCGGUGUGUAAACUCCUUUUAUAUGUCAAGAAAAUGACGGUAGCAUAUGAAUAAGCACCGGCUAACUCCGUGCCAGCAGCCGCGGUAAUACGGAGGGGUGCAAGCGUUACUCGGAAUCACUGGGCGUAAAGGACGCGUAGGCGGGUUGGAAAGUCAGGUGUGAAAUCCUACAGCUUAACUGUAGAACUGCACUUGAAACUUCUAAUCUAGAGUAUGGGAGGGGGAGAUGGAAUUAGUGGUGUAGGGGUAAAAUCCGUAGAUAUCACUAGGAAUACCUAAAGCGAAGGCGAUCUCCUGGAACAUUACUGACGCUAAGGCGUGAAAGCGUGGGGAGCAAACAGGAUUAGAUACCCGGGUAGUC